GAUGAAGAACGCAGCGAAAUGCGAUAAGUAAUGUGAAUUGCAGAAUUCAGUGAAUCAUCGAAUCUUUGAACGCACAUUGCGCCCCCUGGUAUUCCGGGGGGCAUGCCUGUUCGAGCGUCAUUUCACCACUCAAGCCUCGCUUGGUAUUGGGCAUCGCGGUCCGCCGCGCGCCUCAAAUCGACCGGCUGGGUCUUCUGUCCCCUAAGCGUUGUGGAAACUAUUCGCUAAAGGGUGUUCGGGAGGCUACGCCGUAAAACAACCCCAUUUCUAAGGUUGACCUCGGAUCAGGUAGGGAUACCCGCUGAACUUAAGCAUAUCAAAAGCGGAGGA
This 330-nucleotide unclassified non-coding RNA is filed under the name soil metagenome. RNAcentral describes it as "partial contains 5.8S ribosomal RNA, internal transcribed spacer 2, and large subunit ribosomal RNA". The stretch from base 1 to 120 matches the Rfam family "5.8S ribosomal RNA", at positions 35 to 154 of the family's 154-position model. The record is from RNAcentral.